UCGGUGGUGGCUCAGUUGGAUAUUGCGUAGGCUCAUUGCCGUUGAGACAUCCUGAACUCGAGAGUUCGAUCCUCUCCCACCCCA
Non-coding RNA from Eragrostis curvula (weeping love grass), 84 nucleotides. NCBI's taxonomy places the organism in Eukaryota, Viridiplantae, Streptophyta, Magnoliopsida, Poales, Poaceae. The record is from the annotation of a GenBank genome assembly.